AGAGCAAUUGCUAGGUAGUAUGGUUGUUGGAUAUCAAUUUUCUAAGAAAUUGUCAAGAUGUUUUCUAGAGUGGCUAUACUAUUUUUCAUUCAUACCAGCCAC
RNAcentral lists this microRNA precursor (102 nucleotides) under Marmota monax (woodchuck). The record is from RNAcentral. Lineage: Eukaryota; Metazoa; Chordata; Mammalia; Rodentia; Sciuridae.